Molecule: ribozyme, 80 nt
Filed under: Crocodylus porosus (Australian saltwater crocodile)
Lineage: Eukaryota; Metazoa; Chordata; Crocodylia; Crocodylidae
Description: Mammalian CPEB3 ribozyme (ENSCPRG00005010445.1)
Rfam family: Mammalian CPEB3 ribozyme
About the family: The mammalian CPEB3 ribozyme is a self cleaving RNA located in the second intron of the CPEB3 gene which belongs to a family of genes regulating messenger RNA polyadenylation.
Source: Rfam by way of RNAcentral
AGAGGUUGUAAGUUCAAGGCCACAGCAGAACCACUCACAGCACAGCCCUGUCAGAUUCCAGUGAAUCUGCAAAUUCUGUU